RNAcentral lists this ribosomal RNA (491 nucleotides) under uncultured archaeon. RNAcentral describes it as "bacterial SSU rRNA". It matches the Rfam family "Archaeal small subunit ribosomal RNA", at positions 860 to 1349 of the family's 1478-position model. The record is from RNAcentral.
AGGAAUUGGCGGGGGAGCACCACAACGCGUGGAGCCUGCGGUUUAAUUGGAUUCAACGCCGGACAUCUCACCAGAGGCGACAGCUGUAUGAUAGCCAGGUUGAUGACUUUGCUUGACUAGCUGAGAGGAGGUGCAUGGCCGCCGUCAGCUCGUACCGUGAGGCGUCCUGUUAAGUCAGGCAACGAGCGAGACCCACGCCCUUAGUUACCAGCAUAUCCUUUUUUGGAUGAUGGGCACACUAGGGGGACCGCCUAUGAUAAAUAGGAGGAAGGAGAGGUCAACGGUAGGUCAGUAUGCCCUGAAUCUCUUGGGCUACACGCGCGCUACAAAGGGCGGGACAAUGGGUCCCUACACCGAAAGGUGGAGGCAAUCUCGAAACCCGUCCGUAGUUCGGACUGAGGGUUGUAACUCACCCUCACGAAGCUGGAUUCCGUAGUAAUCGCGAAUCAACAACUCGCGGUGAAUAUGCCCCUGCUCCUUGCACACACCGC